AAAAUUAACAUAAAUGAUCCCAACCACCCAAACAGAUUGUUCAAUUCCAAAGCAUCUGAAAAGCAAAACCUUUCAGCAACCUAUCAGAGUAUUAUCCCAUCAAUCCUAUCAAUCUGCUUCAAUAAUAUACUGGAAGGUAUUCUUUCAAAAACCAUUGCGCCUUUUUAAAAUCUUGGCACUCUUUCAUCUAAAAAGCCCCAAAAAUUCCUUUUCCAAUUAUUUCCUUCCCCUCUUCCAAAACGGGGAACCAAUAUCAGAUGUGGCUUGUACGAUGUGGUUAUCGCCGAUCUACUUCAACAGCAUCAAGUGCAUAGAUUACGAAUCACGUACAAGCAAUCUCCUUCGACUUCUACAUUUAGAAAACCCAUUUAAGCUCCUGUCAAAACCUUCUAGAAGCAAGCUAUCACCUCUGCUGCAAAAUGGUGAAGGUAUGUUGGCAUGCAAAACAGUUUUUGAACAGAGAAUACUACCUAUGUCAUUUCUAAUAACAAUCCCAAAAUCAAGAUCUAUUAUCUUCCUUGCAAAAUCCUGUAUCAAAAUUUAUUUUGACAAAAGGGUUCUGAGGCACCUUCCACACACCAACGGUCGCUCUUUGCCCUUCAUGUAGCAAUUUGUUACGUGCAACCUAGAUUGCCCACAACCCACAGCAAAACAAUCGACAAAGGUACAUGGAACUAUUUUCAAAAAAAAUGUUUACCCAUUCUGCCAUUUGAGUCAUAUGCAUCUGCGUACAUUGUGUGAACCCUAACUGUUGCCAAAUCUUCUUUGUGUGCAAACACUCUUGAAAAACAUGUUCAACUGUUUCCACACCAUUGUGGCAGCGAGGACAAUUCGCAGAGUUCAUCAACCCCUUGUAGUAUAAGUUUGCAUAAGUAGGCACAAAGUUGUUCAUAAUCCUCCAUGUUGUAAUUUUUAUUUUGGAGGGUAGAUCAAUAUUCCAGAGCCUUUUUUAUAAGUUGGAGUAGGGGUAGAAAUUUCCAUCAGUAGAAAUUCCAUAAUGGUUGUGUAUUAACCAUUUACAAGCACUUCAGACCGUAUAUUCCCCCAUAGCUUCACCACUCCAACCGUGAACAUUCUUCUGUAGAACCAGGGGUAAAGGAAUGGCUAGAAUCUAUCGAGCAUUAUCAACAGCAAAGGUAGAAUUGAUUAAAUCCUCCUUCUAAUUAUUUGUUUGCUGAUCUAUUAAAUCUGCCUGUAACAGCUCAAUUUUGACCCUAAUCAAAAAAGUGGUUUCGGGACUACAAAUCUGAGUCAGAAAAAUAUUUUAAAAUUAUUUUUAGUGUUUACAGUAUGUGAAUUUCAGUGUGUAAAAAUUUCGUAUGAAAAUUUGAUCGUUUGAGUGCUCAAUUUGAUAAAAAGGGCUUAAUCGUGUAAAAUGAAAACUUUGGGAUCUAAUUUAAAAGCAUCUAUUUGUUGAUGUCUUAUUAAUUAGGAGGCUUAAAAGUGCAAUAAACCUACUAUAUAGAUAAUGGAUGGUUAUGGACAAGACUAACCUUAAUGUUUAAAUAUAUAUUAUUUAGUAAAUAAGGUUAGUAAGGUAAAUAGCUUAUUAUUACAUUAUAUGUAAUUAAAAAUACAUGAAAUUUAAACUAGCUAUCAUCUUCUUCCAUGGCCGAAUAUUAACAAAAGAAAAGAAAGAAAAGCCAAGCUAGGUUUCAGCACAAAACAAACUUGAUUAAGGUAUGAAUUUGUUUCGGUUUUUGAUAAUUUUUACGUUUUUGAUAUCGUUGCUUUGUGUACUACAAGACACAUGCUUUAAUUUUUGAAUUUGAUGUUGAUUUUGUGAUAUGCCAUUGAUGAAUGCUUGAGCUUUGUAAUAGUUGAUGAUGAAAUAUGGAAGAUAUGUGGAAGAUUAACAUGUUUUGUCUUUAAGUUUUUGGUGAAAUUGAGUAAUUAGGGCUAAAUUGUGAAAUUAAAUUUUUGAGGGACUAAAAUGUGAAAUAAAUUAAAUGUGUGGACUUGUAUGAGCAUUAGGGAUAUUCGGCCCUUAUAUAAUGUGGGGAAAUUUUGUGUAUUUUGUGUUUUAUGCAAUAGGGAUUAAAUUGCAAAAAGUGUAAAUGCCAGGGGCAAAAUAGUAAUUUUCUCAUUUAUGUGCUUUUGGACUAAAUUGAAUGUAAUUAUAUUUAAACUAGCUCAUUUUGAAUAUAUUUAGAUCAAGAACCGAAGAAAUCGGAGUUGGAUCGGGGAAAAGCUAAAGUUGUCGAUUAAUAGUCCAGUUUUGACUUUUCACCGUCCAAGGCUCAGCGCCCAGCAGGUAUAUUGCCAGUGAAUCAAUUCAGGCUUAAAACCUAGCAGGCUAAGUGCCGGUGAACUGAAUCAGACUAUAAGCCUAGCAGGCUAAGUGCCGGUGAUCUGAAUCAGGCUUUAAACCUAGCAGGCUAAGUGCCGGUGAAUCUAUUUUAAUUAAGUGAUUAUAUACAUUGGGUAUAUAUGUAUAUGAUUUGGUUAUUUGUAUUGAAUAAAUAUAUGAACAUCUGUUUCUAUGUUUUUGAUGAGCAUAUAAAAGCUCGAAUCUUUGUGUUUGGUGAGUAUAUAUAUAUAUAUUGGUUAUCAUGAAA
Molecule: long non-coding RNA, 2558 nt
Organism: Gossypium raimondii (Peruvian cotton)
Lineage: Eukaryota; Viridiplantae; Streptophyta; Magnoliopsida; Malvales; Malvaceae
Exons: 4
Source: RefSeq, a predicted model, not a curated record